CAGAGCUGGCUGGCUGUGCACCAUCUAAGCAGAGUUUCAACACCUGCAAAUCCUUUUCGCUAAAAGAUGGACAACCAUCAAAGAGCUGGCACUCUAGAGGACAGAGCAAGGCCCAUAUCCCUUUGAGCAAGAGUCUGGAAGAGAUCAAAGCAAAUUCUCCCAGGGAAUUUGUAGUGGAGCAUGUUUGCAGGGAGUCUGCACGUGAACAUGACCUAAGCUUGCUCUAAGCUGGCGGCAUGAUAAAUCAUGAGCAGGUUUCUUUAGAGAAGGCCAGAGUGAGCUUGACUGGUGCUUACAGUCUCACGGUCACAGUUUUCUGAAGUUUUAUGCGCCUUGUCUUGGUGUUGGGUUCAGGGCGGAAGCCGAGAAAACCCACUUCAAAGACAGAAGCCUAAAGUGCAAGCUUUAUUUUCUGCUCUCACAGGGAGGCUGCCAGUUCAGGAUAUGAACCAAGUCCCCGAAGGGAGAUUGUACAACGUUUUUAAAGGAUGGGAACACAAGAGGCCUUGCAAUGAAUCAGAAUGCAGGUGAGAGCCCCACAGUCAUCCAACUAGACUGUUCCAGACUGAGUUUCCUCAAAGCAGUGUCUUCAUGUGUCAUAUUAAUUUUAGGGAGGAGGGAACAUAGUCCUACCUGCUCUCCAGGUAAAGUAGCUUGUGCCCAAUCCCCAAAAAGAAGAGGAGGAGGAGGAGGCAGGGGAAGAUGGAGGAAGUCAAUGAGACAGGGCCCUCAAAAGGCCAAAGUCCAAGAGGGGACUUGACUGCAGAGAGCUGAAAACCAGGUGAUCUGGAAAGGCCCAUUCACCCACGUUUACUUCCUUGCUCCACCCUUGUGUCAAAAUAUGAUUGGUCAAAGCAACAGCCCACCCCCCUGACCUUGUGUUCCCAUCCUUUAAAAAUGUUGUACAAUCUUCCUUUGUGG
Meriones unguiculatus (Mongolian gerbil) is the source of this 921-nucleotide long non-coding RNA. RefSeq lists it as uncharacterized. The record is from RefSeq and is a predicted model, not a curated record. Lineage: Eukaryota; Metazoa; Chordata; Mammalia; Rodentia; Muridae. The transcript is spliced from 4 exons.